GGAGUCUGGGCCGUAUCUCAGUCCCAAUGUGGCCGAUCAACCUCUCAGUCCGGCUACUGAUCGAAGCCUUGGUGGGCCGUUACCCCGCCAACCAGCUAAUCAGACGCGAGCCCAUCUUUCAGCGAUAAAUCUUUGGUCAUAAAAGGAUGCCCUUAAAUGACAUUAUGCGGUAUUAGCAGUCGUUUCCAACUGUUGUCCCCCUCUGAAAGGCAGGUUGCUCACGCGUUACUCACCCGUUCGCCACUAAGCUAAAAAUUCAAUCCCCGAAGGAAAAUCCAAAAUAGCUCCGUUCGACUUGCAUGUGUUAGGCACGCCGCCAGCGUUCGUCCUCGAGCCACUGAUCAAACUACU
RNAcentral lists this ribosomal RNA (351 nucleotides) under uncultured Oscillospiraceae bacterium. RNAcentral's name for it is "partial 16S ribosomal RNA". Lineage: Bacteria; Bacillati; Bacillota; Clostridia; Eubacteriales; Oscillospiraceae. The record is from RNAcentral.